UAAUCGUAGAUCAGCAUGCUACGGUGAAUACGUUCCCGGGCCUUGUACACACCGCCCGUCACACCAUGAGAGUCGGGAACACCCGAAGUCCGUAGCCUAACAGCAAUGGGGGCGCGGCCGAAGGUGGGUUCGAUAAUUGGGGUGAAGUCGUAACAAGGUACC
This 162-nucleotide ribosomal RNA is filed under the name uncultured bacterium. Its description in RNAcentral is "partial 16S ribosomal RNA". It matches the Rfam family "Bacterial small subunit ribosomal RNA", at positions 1339 to 1500 of the family's 1533-position model. The record is from RNAcentral.